GCCCGCGCCCCCGCCAUCUGCCCCCGGGGCGGGGCGCAGGCCGGAGUCGGGUUCCUGCCCAGCCCCCCUCGCCUAGCCCGCUGUGGAGCCGGGUGACCUGUGCACCCAAAUCCCCCCACCGCCGCUCCGGGCCCAGCUGCUCGUGGGGUGCCCCAGAGCCCCGGCAGGAAGACCCGAAUGGCAGGAUCCCCGGGCAAGAGAGAGCCAGGGCGCCCAAAUGCAACGGACCUAGGGCCCCUUCCGGGAACCUGGCCAGGGCCUCGUGGCUAGACUGGGAGAGGGGUCAGAGAACAGUGGACACUCAGAGGGGACUGGCUGAAGGUGUAACGAGCGGAGGAGGGCUCGGGCUGAAGGACAUCCCAGACCCCAUUCUCAGCUCUGUAGAGACACGUUGCAGAGCACAGCUGCCUCCAUCUCCCCAAGAUGGCCACCAAGGGUCUGAUGUGCUGGAAGUGGAGUGGCUCUGGCAUGAAAUUGAGCACCAAGACCCUCCACACUGCUUUCUCAAUGUCUUUCUGAUCUGUCUUCUGUACCCUUCCACUGCCAUCCUGGUCACAGCUGUACUGCGGUGACAGCAUGAAACGCAAACUAGGUUUUGUCCCUUCCAGCUAAAGUUCUUCAGGGGCUCCCCGCUGCCCGCUGAUCGGAUCUGUCAGAGUGUCUAGUAACCGGGUUAGGCCCACACCCCGGAACCAGCCUGCUGGCUGUUACAUCCUGAGGCCGCUGCUGCUUAUUGUGCCUUGAUUUCCCCACCCGUAGCAAGGGGGUGAUGAUAAUGACUGGGCAGUGUUCUGAGUGCUUUGCACAUCAUCAUGGAUCCAUUUAAUCCUUACAACUCUGAAGUAAAUAACUCGUUAUGCCUGCUUUACUGUGCACCCACAAUACCCACAAUAAAAGUAGAAUAAUAUGAGCGAGUACCUAGUGCAUACAGUUAUGAUUAAAUGAGUUAAUUCAUAUCAAAAUCUAGAAGAGCUUGGACACAUCUGGUGAUCAGUACAUUCUAGAUGGUACUCUUGACCCAGCCCAUCCUACCAACACCUUCUCCCAACUAACCUCCAGUCUCUCUGAAGCGUUGGUACCUGCCUCUUCACCUGUCCUAACCACCGCUCUUGUCCCCUCCCCAGCCUUCUGGCCUUUCUGUGUCCUAUCACCUGGCACAGAUUGGGGAUUUAAUACAGACUGAGGAAUGAAUGGAUGAGGUUUUGGGGGAAGAAGCUGGGCUGGAGGGAUUAUUCGAUGCUCACGCGCCCCCUGGUGGCCACCAUGGGCAUUCCAGGCCUUGGUCCAACCUUUAAA
Molecule: long non-coding RNA, 1296 nt
Organism: Artibeus jamaicensis (Jamaican fruit-eating bat)
Lineage: Eukaryota; Metazoa; Chordata; Mammalia; Chiroptera; Phyllostomidae
Exons: 3
Source: RefSeq, a predicted model, not a curated record